Molecule: long non-coding RNA, 3515 nt
Organism: Mauremys reevesii (Reeves's turtle)
Lineage: Eukaryota; Metazoa; Chordata; Testudines; Geoemydidae
Exons: 4
Source: RefSeq, a predicted model, not a curated record
AUCCUAUUAGGACAGAUGAAAUAUAUUAGUGAGAGCAAACCAGAACAUGGAGAAGAUGUAGAAGGAAAACAACAAAGCAAGAAACAUCUUUGGAGUUCAAGAGACCCAUGAACUCUGCAUGAUCUUUGAAUGUCUUCCACUUCAUAUGAAGGUUCAUCCUUUCCCAUUUCAUUUUGAACCAUUGGACGCAAACUCCAUCAGUUGUUGAGACUUGUUCCCUGAGAGACUGUUUCUUACUCUGUGUUUGCACAGGACCUCCAACAGUGGAGCUCCAAUCUUGGCUGAGCCUCUAGAGCCUUGUCUUUAGUGCACGCUAACUAUAGGAUAUGGACCUUGCUACUGUCAUCUCUGCCUUUUUUAACCUGAAGAUUGGAUUAUUGCUAUGUGCUUUACAUGGGACCACAUCUUUGAUGAAUCUGGGGCAGGGCCAGAUUAAGGCAUAGGCACUAUAGACCCAUGAUGAAGGCACCAGAUCUUGGAGUCAUGUAUUUGCAGCAAAAUCUUAGCUUUCAUUAAAAAGAAAGCUCAGAGCCUCAAAGAUAUUUAGGCUCCUAACUUCCAUUGAUUUCAGUCUGGGUCUAAAUCUCCAGCCCCCAUUGUGGCAAAGAAAUGUUUGAAAAUGUGAAUCAAGCAUAACUGAUGGAGUAUUACCUGCCUGAGUCUGCAAAGACUGAAAUAAUAGUUUUGACAGAGGUGACCAGUUCCAGCAUCUCAAUGGGGUGUUAACGCCAAGACCCACUUCUCUGGAGGAACAUGGCGACACCACCCAGCAGGAGCACUCCAUAUGUCACAGAUCAAGAAGAGUGUGCCAGGCUCUGCUGACCCACCCAGACAAAUAAAUCCCAGCUGCAGGUGUAAGUACUGGUAACCUCCCUGCUGCCACCUCUACUUUGGCAAGGGAAAGGCACCUCUGCUGCUCUUAAGGGGAGUGGAAGGAAGGGUGUGCUGCUAGCCAUUCCUGUGGUGAAAGAGUCCUAUGCUGCUGCUCCUGCUUCUCAGGGUCCCCCUGGAAUUGCUAUAGCAGGUGGGGUGGUGGUGUAGAGCCAUGAGAGGCUCUAUCUAAAAGCACCCUUUUCUUCAGAACAACUCUCAGGGAACCAAGAUCAGUGUCUGUAGGGCCCCCAGUGAAGCCUUCACCUGCACUAAUCCAAAAGGUAGCUGAACCUGCACCCAUAAUGUGUUUCAUUGUUAAUUGGUGUGACAGAGUUAUGAGGCCAGUGAGACAUUUAACUGAUGAGUCAGCAGGGGUUGUGAGUGAGAUACCAAUCCAGUUAGUCCACAGCUCUGUGGCAGCACUGUUGGGCAUGCUUAGACCAAAUGGAAAAGUGGGGAAUUUACUUGCACACGUUUAGUUCCGACAUUUACUGGGACUGUGGAUUUCUGGCUGAGGGCAGCGUGUAAACUUCAGAGCUAGAAGGAUGGAACUCUCUGCUCUGUCUAUAGGGGAAAAGAUAAAAGCCAGCCCUGGCGAUCUUCAUAUGAAUUAUAAUGUUGCUUAACCAUAGUUCUGCAUACUGUGUUUUGUUGCUGUAAUUGAAGUUGCCUAUGUUCUCACUGUAUAAAUGGUGAUUGAUUAUUAUGAUGACUAAGUUCUGGAUCUUAACAAGCCAUACAAUUAAUACAUUGGAUCUCUGGGCUGGCCAUACUCCUGAUAUACAGAAUGGGUUUUGUUUGUUUUAUUGUAUGUAAAUAUAGUUAGCAUAUUGCUUUCGUUGAUUAUUCCCUUUUCCUCACAGUAUUUGUGGUUCCAUAUCCCCAAGGACUUGUGAGUAAGGGUGAGCCACUUAGAAGCCUGGGGAAAUUGUAUUUUAAUUUCUCAAAGCCAGAAAUAGGAGUACUGCUCUGGAUGGGGGCUUGAGCCAUCAAUUUAUUUAUUUUAGAAAAAAGACCUCUAGACAGAUUGAACCUGGCCAUUGUUGCCGCCAUUGGCAUCUCGCAGAAGAGUUACAUUCUUGAUAAAUAUAUGCAUGCAGAUUCUGCACUGUGGCACCUCAUGUACCCCACUAGAAUGGAGGAUAUAGAAAUUAAUUGGAUAAAUUGUUUUAGAUAAACAUCAAAGUUGGUAAUGCAAAGAUGACUGACAAGAUACCACUCCCAAAUUUACAUAAUUUUUUUAGGGGGCAUGUUUUUUGGCUAAGACGGAAUCAAGAUCCUGCAAUAGAAGUGGUGCCUAUAUUCAGAACCUUAUAAAGUAUGGUGCAUACUUCAUGGACACACCGUUUUUUAAAAUAUACAACCCCUGAGAAGAUAAACUAAUACAUGAACAUUGAAGUUAGAGUGUGCUUCACUACAUCAUGUAGAAUGCUCUAGGCUCAAAGAAAAAUGGAGGUCAGCAAGCAAAAGUAGUAUAGCUUCUUUGACUGGGGAAUUAUAUGGCUAUCAGCUAAUUUAAACUAAAUCUCAUUUAGAUCACCUGUUCUGAGCUUAUUGGUAGGGUGUUUGACACUAAUGCUUGCUGAGAUCAUGGAGAAGAGAACCCAGAACAAAUUGUGAAAAGGAUCCUGGUCAAACAAUGGGAGAGCUGAGAGUCUCUAUGGCUGAUUGCGCACAAUAAACUACAGUGCUACAGCUUGUGGAAGACUAAAAAUCAGGUGGGAGAAAUAAAACAAAUCAGGCAGAGUGCUUUACCGCAAGAGCAGGAGGGAGAUAAAAUCCAUCUUAAUUCAUUUAUACUGGUCCAUAUUGACCAAAUGAACAAAUACAUGUUUUUGUUAGCUGCAUUUUAUGGAAUAAUUGGCUUUCUGACACAUUGUUUAGUUACAUUAACUCGAAAAUGUCAAAAAGUGAGUUUUAAGCGCUCAGAUCAGAGCCGAUUUGUUAUUUGGUCUGGGUUUAUGAUACAUGUGGGUGGCUUUUUCAUUUUUGUUUUAUAUGCUUUUAAAAUUAUUGGGGCUCACACAGGCCUCUGACUCAUUUCCCAGGAGGGAGAGUUAGGCAUUUUCCCCCCUGUUUUGCUACUCCUGACUGUGUGAUAAAUAAGAUCAAGGGAUGCCCAGUUCAUCUUUCUCCUUAUUACUGUGGCUCACAUUCAUAAAGGAUGCUUUUCUUUUGGGGAUCACUGCUGCUUGCCUCCUCUUCCUUAAGAAGUCAUUUUGUCCAUCAUCCUAAAACAGGGUUUCUCAAACUUCUGAAAACUGAGACCAACUUCAGGAAAAUAAAACCAGUUCCACCUUACUUCUGCCCCACCAUGUGCUGUUAAAGGCCCACCCAGUCCAUUCAAGUCUGGAAUUUUAAUUAAAUUGUAUUUUUAGAUAUGUCCUCCAAUUUUGUAUUUUAAGGAAUGACGUAUAUUCUGUAUUGGAUGUUAUAUCUCUGAACAUGUUUUAUUAUUUAAAACUGAAAUAGAAAGCUGUCAGGUUUACAAUAAUAUUACUUAACAGAUAUUUUAAUGCUUGUUAUUUCUUUUCUCCAACAAAUCAUCUCACAUCUAUGGGCUCCUCAGAUGUGGCUGCUUCUUGACUUGGGCUUGGUUCCUUUUGGACUUGUGUGGUAGGUGAAAGUGGUGGUAUUUCCCA